Molecule: ribosomal RNA, 1341 nt
Filed under: metagenome
Description: bacterial LSU rRNA
Rfam family: Bacterial large subunit ribosomal RNA
Source: RNAcentral
UUCCAGGAAAAGCCUCUAAGCAUCAGGUAACAUCAAAUCGUACCCCAAACCGACACAGGUGGUCAGGUAGAGAAUACCAAGGCGCUUGAGAGAACUCGGGUGAAGGAACUAGGCAAAAUGGUGCCGUAACUUCGGGAGAAGGCACGCUGAUAUGUAGGUGAAGCGACUUGCUCGUGGAGCUGAAAUCAGUCGAAGAUACCAGCUGGCUGCAACUGUUUAUUAAAAACACAGCACUGUGCAAACACGAAAGUGGACGUAUACGGUGUGACGCCUGCCCGGUGCCGGAAGGUUAAUUGAUGGGGUUAGCGCAAGCGAAGCUCUUGAUCGAAGCCCCGGUAAACGGCGGCCGUAACAAUAACGGUCCUAAGGUAGCGAAAUUCCUUGUCGGGUAAGUUCCGACCUGCACGAAUGGCGUAAUGAUGGCCAGGCUGUCUCCACCCGAGACUCAGUGAAAUUGAACUCGCUGUGAAGAUACAGUGUACCCGCGGCAAGACGGAAAGACCCCGUGAACCUUUACUAUAGCUUGACACUGAACAUUGAGCCUUGAUGUGCAGGAUAGGUGGGAGGCUUUGAAGUGUGGACGCCAGUCUGCAUGGAGCCGACCUUGAAAUACCACCCUUUAAUGUUUGAUGUUCUAACGUUGACCCGUAAUCCGGGUUGCGGACAGUGUCUGGUGGGUAGUUUGACUGGGGCGGUCUCCUCCUAAAGAGUAACGGAGGAGCACGAAGGUUGGCUAAUCCUGGUCGGACAUCAGGAGGUUAGUGCAAUGGCAUAAGCCAGCUUGACUGCGAGCGUGACGGCGCGAGCAGGUGCGAAAGCAGGUCAUAGUGAUCCGGUGGUUCUGAAUGGAAGGGCCAUCGCUCAACGGAUAAAAGGUACUCCGGGGAUAACAGGCUGAUACCGCCCAAGAGUUCAUAUCGACGGCGGUGUUUGGCACCUCGAUGUCGGCUCAUCUCAUCCUGGGGCUGAAGUAGGUCCCAAGGGUAUGGCUGUUCGCCAUUUAAAGUGGUACGCGAGCUGGGUUUAGAACGUCGUGAGACAGUUCGGUCCCUAUCUGCCGUGGGCGCUGGAGAACUGAGGGGGGCUGCUCCUAGUACGAGAGGACCGGAGUGGACGCAUCACUGGUGUUCGGGUUGUCAUGCCAAUGGCACUGCCUGGUAGCUAAAUGCGGAAGAGAUAAGUGCUGAAAGCAUCUAAGCACGAAACUUGCCCCGAGAUGAGUUCUCCCUGACUCCUUGAGAGUCCUGAAGGAACGUUGAAGACGACGACGUUGAUAGGCCGGGUGUGUAAGCGCAGCGAUGCGUUGAGCUAACCGGUACUAAUGAACCGUGAGGCUUAACC